GAUGAACGCUGGCGGCGUGCCUAAUACAUGCAAGUCGAGCGAACGGACGAGAAGCUUGCUUCUCUGAUGUUAGCGGCGGACGGGUGAGUAACACGUGGAUAACCUACCUAUAAGACUGGGAUAACUUCGGGAAACCGGAGCUAAUACCGGAUGAUAUUUUGAACCGCAUGGUUCAAAAGUGAAAGACGGUCUUGCUGUCACUUAUAGAUGGAUCCGCGCUGCAUUAGCUAGUUGGUAAGGUAACGGCUUACCAAGGCAACGAUGCAUAGCCGACCUGAGAGGGUUAUCCGCCACACUGGAACUGAGACACGGUCCAGACUCCUACGGGAGGCAGCAGUAGGGAAUCUUCCGCAAAGGGCGAAAGCCUGACGGAGCAACGCCGCGUGAGUGAUGAAGGUCUUCGGAUCGUAAAACUCUGUUAUUAGGGAAGAACAUAUGUGUAAGUAACUGUGCACAUCUUGACGGUACCUAAUCAGAAAGCCACGGCUAACUACGUG
This 497-nucleotide ribosomal RNA is filed under the name uncultured bacterium. RNAcentral describes it as "partial 16S ribosomal RNA". It matches the Rfam family "Bacterial small subunit ribosomal RNA", at positions 28 to 507 of the family's 1533-position model. The record is from RNAcentral.